This 495-nucleotide ribosomal RNA is filed under the name uncultured bacterium. RNAcentral's name for it is "partial 16S ribosomal RNA". It matches the Rfam family "Bacterial small subunit ribosomal RNA", at positions 28 to 507 of the family's 1533-position model. The record is from RNAcentral.
GACGAACGCUGGCGGCGUGCCUAAUACAUGCAAGUAGAACGCUGAAGGAGGAGCUUGCUUCUCUGGAUGAGUUGCGAACGGGUGAGUAACGCGUAGGUAACCUGCCUGGUAGCGGGGGAUAACUAUUGGAAACGAUAGCUAAUACCGCAUAAUAGCAGUUGUUGCAUGACAACUGUUUGAAAGAUGCAAUUGCACCACUACCAGAUGGACCUGCGUUGUAUUAGCUAGUUGGUGGGGUAACGGCUCACCAAGGCGACGAUACAUAGCCGACCUGAGAGGGUGAUCGGCCACACUGGGACUGAGACACGGCCCAGACUCCUACGGGAGGCAGCAGUAGGGAAUCUUCGGCAAUGGACGGAAGUCUGACCGAGCAACGCCGCGUGAGUGAAGAAGGUUUUCGGAUCGUAAAGCUCUGUUGUAAGAGAAGAACGAGUGUGAGAGUGGAAAGUUCACACUGUGACGGUAUCUUACCAGAAAGGGACGGCUAACUACGUG